Molecule: ribosomal RNA, 253 nt
Filed under: uncultured bacterium
Lineage: Bacteria
Description: partial 16S ribosomal RNA
Rfam family: Bacterial small subunit ribosomal RNA
Source: RNAcentral
UACGUAGGGGGCAAGCGUUGUCCGGAAUCAUUGGGCGUAAAGAGCGUGUAGGCGGUUCGGUAAGUCGGCUGUGAAAGUCCAGGGCUCAACCCUGGGAUGCCGGUCGAUACUGCCGGACUAGAGUUCGGAAGAGGCGAGUGGAAUUCCCGGUGUAGCGGUGAAAUGCGCAGAUAUCGGGAGGAACACCUAUGGCGAAGGCAGCUCGCUGGGACGUUACUGACGCUGAGGAGCGGAAGCGUGGGGAGCGAACAGG